CCUACGGGAGGCAGCAGUGGGGAAUAUUGGGCAAUGGGCGCAAGCCUGACCCAGCAACGCCGCGUGAAGGAAGAAGGCUUUCGGGUUGUAAACUUCUUUUCUCAGGGACGAAGAAAGUGACGGUACCUGAGGAAUAAGCCACGGCUAACUACGUGCCAGCAGCCGCGGUAAUACGUAGGUGGCAAGCGUUAUCCGGAUUUAUUGGGUGUAAAGGGCGUGUAGGCGGGAGCGCAAGUCAGAUGUGAAAAGUCAGGGCUCAACCCUGAGCCUGCAUUUGAAACUGUGUUUCUUGAGUGCUGGGGAGGCAAUCGGAAUUCGGGGUGUAGCGGUGAAAUGCGUAGAUAUACGGAGGAACACCAGUGGCGAAGGCGGAUUGCUGGACAGUAACUGACGCUGAGGCGCGAAAGCGUGGGGAGCAAACAGGAUUAGAUACCCCGGUAGUC
RNAcentral lists this ribosomal RNA (443 nucleotides) under uncultured bacterium. RNAcentral describes it as "partial 16S ribosomal RNA". It matches the Rfam family "Bacterial small subunit ribosomal RNA", at positions 338 to 795 of the family's 1533-position model. The record is from RNAcentral.